Molecule: ribosomal RNA, 406 nt
Filed under: uncultured bacterium
Lineage: Bacteria
Description: partial 16S ribosomal RNA
Rfam family: Bacterial small subunit ribosomal RNA
Source: RNAcentral
AUUGAACGCUGGCGGCAGGCCUAACACAUGCAAGUCGAGCGAGCGGCGGACGGGUGAGUCAUGUAUGGGGAUCUGCCCGAUCGAGGGGGAUAACUACUGGAAACGGUGGCUAAUACCGCAUACUAUCAGAUGAACCCAUAUGGGAUUAGCUAGUAGGUGGGGUAAUGGCUCACCUAGGCGACGAUCCCUAGCUGGUCUGAGAGGGGGAUCAGCCACACUGGGACUGAGACACGGCACAGACUCCUACGGGAGGCAGCAGUGGGGAAUAUUGCACAAUGGGCGCAAGCCUGAUGCAGGCAUGCCGCGUGUAUGAAGAAGGCCUUAGGGUUGUAAAGCACUUUCAGCGGGGAGGCGUUACCCGAAGAAGAAGCACCGGCUAACUCCGUGCCAGCAGCCGCGGUAAUAC